Molecule: ribosomal RNA, 529 nt
Filed under: uncultured Entrophosporaceae
Lineage: Eukaryota; Fungi; Glomeromycota; Glomeromycetes; Entrophosporales; Entrophosporaceae
Description: SSU rRNA
Rfam family: Eukaryotic small subunit ribosomal RNA
Source: RNAcentral
AGCAGCCGCGGUAAUUCCAGCUCCAAUAGCGUAUAUUAAAGUUGUUGCAGUUAAAAAGCUCGUAGUUGAAUUUCGGGAUUGACGUGACGGUCAUGCCUUAAGGGGUAUGAACUGUUACAGUUGAUUUCUCACUUUCUGGAGAAACUUGAUGUCCUUUAUUGGGUGUCUUGCGGAUCCAGGACCUUUACCUUGAAAAAAUUAGAGUGUUUAAAGCAGGCAUUUUUGCUCGAAUACAUUAGCAUGGAAUAAUAGAAUAGGACGGCAUGGUUCUAUUUUGUUGGUUUCUAGGAUCACCGUAAUGAUUAAUAGGGAUAGUUGGGGGCAUUAGUAUUCAAUUGUCAGAGGUGAAAUUCUUGGAUUUAUUGAAGACUAACUACUGCGAAAGCAUUUGCCAAGGAUGUUUUCAUUAAUCAAGAACGAAAGUUAGGGGAUCGAAGACGAUCAGAUACCGUCGUAGUCUUAACCAUAAACUAUGCCGACUAGGAAUCAGACGAUGUUAAUUUUUUAAUGACUCGUUUGGCACCUUACG